AAGGAGAGAGCAGUGCGCAGGCGUGUUCCCUAGACGCCGGCCCCUGGGAGGAGCAAGUCGUGGGCCGCCUUUGGGCUCAGCGGAUGGAGGCGCGGGGUGGGGUGGAGUCCUAAAGCGCACAGACUCGAAUUGCAGGAUUCUACCAAGAUCCCCCAUUGCAUUGCAUUUGUUUUCACUUCCCCUUAGUCUCCUCCAAUCUGUGACAAUUCUUCAGUGUGUCCUUGUCUUUCAAGACUUUAACUUUUGUUAUCUUUUAUCACUUUUGGAAGUUCCACCAAGAUGCCCAAGGGAUUCACCUUACAGAGCCAGGAAACAGAGGCUCAGGGUUGCUAAGAAACUUGCCCACGGUCACAUAGCCAGUAGGAAGCCCAGAGGUGCAAGGUGAACCCGGGUAGUCUGGCUCCAAAGAAUGUGAUCUUCAUCACAAAGCUAUACUUUCUCUGUUUGGGCAGUACUGCUACUGGUUAGGCUCUUGAAACCCCUUCGUAAGUUCCUCCCCUGAUUUGUUAAGGUAAGCCAUAUAUUUGUUUCUGUUUGUUUGUGUGUUUUGCUUUUAUUGAGAUAUAAUUGACAUAUUAUAUUAGUUACAGG
Leopardus geoffroyi (Geoffroy's cat) is the source of this 591-nucleotide long non-coding RNA. RefSeq lists it as uncharacterized. The transcript has 4 exons. Lineage: Eukaryota; Metazoa; Chordata; Mammalia; Carnivora; Felidae. The record is from RefSeq and is a predicted model, not a curated record.